UGGGGAAUAUUGCACAAUGGAGGGAACUCUGAUGCAGCGACGCCGCGUGAACGAAGAAGGCUUUCGAGUCGUAAAGUUCUUUUAUAUGGGAAGAUAAUGACGGUACCAUAAGAAAAAGCCCCGGCUAACUACGUGCCAGCAGCCGCGGUAAUACGUAGGGGGCUAGCGUUGUCCGGAAUCACUGGGCGUAAAGGGUUCGCAGGCGGAAAUGCAAGUCAGGUGUAAAAGGCAGUAGCUUAACUACUGUAAGCAUUUGAAACUGCAUAUCUUGAGAAGAGUAGAGGUAAGUGGAAUUUUUAGUGUAGCGGUGAAAUGCGUAGAUAUUAAAUAGAAGACCGGUGGCGAAGGCGACUUACUGGGCUCAUUCUGACGCUGAGGAACGAAAGCGUGGGUAGCAAACAGG
This 403-nucleotide ribosomal RNA is filed under the name bacterium. Its description in RNAcentral is "partial 16S ribosomal RNA". It matches the Rfam family "Bacterial small subunit ribosomal RNA", at positions 355 to 776 of the family's 1533-position model. The record is from RNAcentral.